CCUACGGGAGGCAGCAGUGGGGGAUAUUGCACAAUGGGGGAAACCCUGAUGCAGCGACGCCGCGUGGGUGAAGAAGUAUUUCGGUAUGUAAAGCCCUAUCAGCAGGGAAGAAAGAAGACGGUACCUGACUAAGAAGCCCCGGCUAACUACGUGCCAGCAGCCGCGGUAAUACGUAGGGGGCGAGCGUUAUCCGGAUUCACUGGGUGUAAAGGGAGCGUAGACGGCCGUGCAAGCCAGGAGUGAAAGCCCGGGGCCCAACCCCGGGACUGCUCUUGGAACUGUGCGGCUGGAGUGCGGGAGGGGCAGGCGGAAUUCGUGGUGUAGCGGUGAAAUGCGUAGAUAUCAGGAGGAACACCGGCGGCGAAGGCGGCCUGCUGGACCGCGACUGACGUUGAGGCUCGAAAGCGUGGGGAGCGAACAGGAUUAGAUACCCUGGUAGUC
RNAcentral lists this ribosomal RNA (441 nucleotides) under uncultured bacterium. Its description in RNAcentral is "partial 16S ribosomal RNA". It matches the Rfam family "Bacterial small subunit ribosomal RNA", at positions 338 to 795 of the family's 1533-position model. The record is from RNAcentral.